Molecule: ribosomal RNA, 498 nt
Filed under: uncultured bacterium
Lineage: Bacteria
Description: partial 16S ribosomal RNA
Rfam family: Bacterial small subunit ribosomal RNA
Source: RNAcentral
AUUGAACGCUGGCGGCAUGCCUUACACAUGCAAGUCGAACGGUAACAGGUCUUCGGAUGCUGACGAGUGGCGAACGGGUGAGUAAUACAUCGGAACGUGCCUAGUAGUGGGGGAUAACUACUCGAAAGAGUGGCUAAUACCGCAUGAGAUCUACGGAUGAAAGCAGGGGAUCGCAAGACCUUGUGCUACUAGAGCGGCCGAUGGCAGAUUAGGUAGUUGGGGGGGUAAAGGCCCACCAAGGCAACGAUCUGUAGUUGGUCUGAGAGGACGACCAGCCACACUGGGACUGAGACACGGCCCAGACUCCUACGGGAGGCAGCAGUGGGGAAUUUUGGACAAUGGGCACAAGCCUGAUCCAGCAAUGCCGCGUGCAGGAAGAAGGCCUUCGGGUUGUAAACUGCUUUUGUCAGGGAAGAAAUCUUCUGGGCUAAUACCCCGGGAGGAUGACGGUACCUGAAGAAUAAGCACCGGCUAACUACGUGCCAGCCGCCGCGGUAA